UACGGAGGGUGCAAGCGUUGCUCGGAAUUACUGGGCGUAAAGCGUACGCAGGCGGCUUGAUCAGUCGGAUGUGAAAGCCCCAGGCUCAACCCGGGAACUGCAUCCGAAACUGUCAAGCUUGAGUUCGAGAGAGGGAAGUGGAAUUCCUGGUGUAGAGGUGAAAUUCGUUGAUAUCAGGAGGAACACCGGCGGCGAAGGCGGCUUCCUGGCUCGAUACUGACGCUCAUGUACGAAAGCGUGGGGAGCAAACAGG
RNAcentral lists this ribosomal RNA (253 nucleotides) under uncultured bacterium. RNAcentral describes it as "partial 16S ribosomal RNA". It matches the Rfam family "Bacterial small subunit ribosomal RNA", at positions 524 to 776 of the family's 1533-position model. The record is from RNAcentral.